UACGUAGGGACCAAGCGUUGUUCGGAUUUACUGGGCGUAAAGGGCGCGUAGGCGGCGUUUUAAGUCGGGUGUGAAAGCCUGUGGCUCAACCACAGAAUGGCCUUCGAUACUGGGACGCUUGAGUAUGGUAGAGGUUGGUGGAACUGCGAGUGUAGAGGUGAAAUUCGUAGAUAUUCGCAAGAACACCGGUGGCGAAGGCGGCCAACUGGACCAUUACUGACGCUGAGGCGCGAAAGCGUGGGGAGCAAACAGG
RNAcentral lists this ribosomal RNA (253 nucleotides) under uncultured bacterium. RNAcentral's name for it is "partial 16S ribosomal RNA". It matches the Rfam family "Bacterial small subunit ribosomal RNA", at positions 524 to 776 of the family's 1533-position model. The record is from RNAcentral.